This 407-nucleotide ribosomal RNA is filed under the name Wallaconchis nangkauriensis. RNAcentral describes it as "partial 16S ribosomal RNA". It matches the Rfam family "Archaeal large subunit ribosomal RNA", at positions 1989 to 2657 of the family's 2987-position model. Lineage: Eukaryota; Metazoa; Mollusca; Gastropoda; Systellommatophora; Onchidiidae. The record is from RNAcentral.
AUGAAAAGUUUAAAUGGCCGCAGUACCCUGACUGUGCUAAGGUAGCAUAAUCAAUUGGCCUUUAAUUGAGGUCUGGAAUGAACGGAUUAAUACGGAAGCUAACUGUCUCUUUUAGAAUUUGUUGAAGUUAUCUUUAAAGGUGAAAAGGCCUUUAUAUGUGAAAAUAGACGAGAAGACCCUAAGAGUUUUAAUUAUAGGUAAAGGUUUUUACUUUUUUUUUGCUGGGGCGGCAAGGAAACAAAUUAACUUUCUUGGUAAAAUUAACAAAGUUGACGCGAAAUUUUAUGAAGAGCUAAUAAACUACCUUAGGGAUAACAGCAUAAUUAUUUUAAUGUUUGUGACCUCGAUGUUGGACUAGGAAAGCUUUAAUGGCUAGCCGCCUAAAGUACUAUGUUCUGUUCGAACAC